Molecule: long non-coding RNA, 643 nt
Organism: Lathyrus oleraceus (garden pea)
Lineage: Eukaryota; Viridiplantae; Streptophyta; Magnoliopsida; Fabales; Fabaceae
Exons: 2
Source: RefSeq, a predicted model, not a curated record
GCAUCUUGGGCUCUUCUUUUUCUCCCUCAACUAAAUUUCUCUAUACUCUCUUCCCUUCUUUGACUCACUCACACCAAAAACACAAUAUAUCAAGCAAAAGAAGGAGAAAAAAACACAUAAAGGAAAUCGAUGAACACAUGGUAUUCAUCUCCUCGCGAUUUCCAGAUCGUAUCCACCUGUACUUGGAUUUAAACUCAACACAACAAGAAACUAAACCUUAGAUCCAAAUCUCAACACCAAACUUCUAAAAAAAAUCCAUCAUAGAUAUCUACCCAGACCCUAACAUAAACCAUAAAUCCUCAUUCCCAAUAGCGAUUUGGUUACAACAACAGAUCACAUCACGUAGUUUUAAAGGAAUUUAAAGAUACAAUAAGAGAAAUGAAAUCGUGAAAAAGGAAACACCAACCAUAGGAAAACUGCUUCGAUUCACCUCAGCAACAAGAUAAGAAUCUGUCCAAGUCAAAGAGAGCAAAGUUCAGGUUGUGUAGAGGAAUAAAAGAGACAAACUAGCUCGUAGUCAUUGUGUUACUAAUACACUUGAAGAGCCCCUUUGAUUUUGUAAUAGUUACUAUAAAAAUGCAAAUUGUGUGUAAUAAAGGCUUGGUGAUGUAAUAUAAAUCCCUAUAUAUUUUUUUAGUUUUUU